Molecule: ribosomal RNA, 253 nt
Filed under: uncultured bacterium
Lineage: Bacteria
Description: partial 16S ribosomal RNA
Rfam family: Bacterial small subunit ribosomal RNA
Source: RNAcentral
UACGGGGGGGGCAAGCGUUGUUCGGAAUUACUGGGCGUAAAGGGCUCGUAGGCGGCCAACUAAGUCUGACGUGAAAUCCCCAGGCUCAACCUGGGAACUGCGUCCGAUACUGGAUGGCUUGAAUCCGGGAGAGGGAUGUGGAAUUCCAGGUGUAGCGGUGAAAUGCGUAGAUAUCGGGAGGAACACCGGUGGCGAAGGCGACUUCCUGGCGUGUUCUUGACGCUGAGGCGCGAAAGCUAGGGGAGCAAACGGG